CGAGAAGACCCUGUGGAGCUUUAGACUUAAGAUAAAUUGUACCUGUAUGUUAUAUCCCUAAUAGAAUCCAGCAAUUAUAUAUUUAAAUGUCUUUGGUUGGGGCGACCUAGG
RNAcentral lists this ribosomal RNA (111 nucleotides) under Pseudophycis barbata (southern bastard codling). RNAcentral's name for it is "partial 16S ribosomal RNA". Lineage: Eukaryota; Metazoa; Chordata; Actinopteri; Gadiformes; Moridae. The record is from RNAcentral.